CCUCCUUUUCUUGGCGGGGACCAGGCAUACAGUGCCACUCCCCGUUAUGUAUGGAGGCAGAGGAAAAGGGCUGUGGUCCCCUCUGCAUCAUGUCUUCAGUGCUGGCUGCUUCCCAUCGCCGGUUCUAUCUUCAAGCGCCAAGACAAGG
Ochotona princeps (American pika) is the source of this 148-nucleotide small nucleolar RNA. The record is from Ensembl. NCBI's taxonomy places the organism in Eukaryota, Metazoa, Chordata, Mammalia, Lagomorpha, Ochotonidae.